Molecule: ribosomal RNA, 1444 nt
Filed under: uncultured organism
Description: SSU rRNA
Rfam family: Bacterial small subunit ribosomal RNA
Source: RNAcentral
GUUCAGGAUGAACGCUAGCUACAGGCUUAACGCAUGCAAGUCGAGGGGCAGCAUGGUCUUAGCUUGCUAAGGCCGAUGGCGGCCGGCGCACGGGUGAGUAACACGUAUCCAACCUGCCGUCUACUCUUGGACAGCCUUCUGAAAGGAAGAUUAAUACAAGAUGGCAUCAUGAGUCCGCAUGUUCACAUGAUUAAAGGUAUUCCGGUAGACGAUGGGGAUGCGUUCCAUUAGAUAGUAGGCGGGGUAACGGCCCACCUAGUCUUCGAUGGAUAGGGGUUCUGAGAGGAAGGUCCCCCACAUUGGAACUGAGACACGGUCCAAACUCCUACGGGAGGCAGCAGUGAGGAAUAUUGGUCAAUGGGCGAGAGCCUGAACCAGCCAAGUAGCGUGAAGGAUGACUGCCCUAUGGGUUGUAAACUUCUUUUAUAAAGGAAUAAAGUCGGGUAUGGAUACCCGUUUGCAUGUACUUUAUGAAUAAGGAUCGGCUAACUCCGUGCCAGCAGCCGCGGUAAUACGGAGGAUCCGAGCGUUAUCCGGAUUUAUUGGGUUUAAAGGGAGCGUAGAUGGAUGUUUAAGUCAGUUGUGAAAGUUUGCGGCUCAACCGUAAAAUUGCAGUUGAUACUGGAUAUCUUGAGUGCAGUUGAGGCAGGCGGAAUUCGUGGUGUAGCGGUGAAAUGCUUAGAUAUCACGAAGAACUCCGAUUGCGAAGGCAGCCUGCUAAGCUGCAACUGACAUUGAGGCUCGAAAGUGUGGGUAUCAAACAGGAUUAGAUACCCUGGUAGUCCACACGGUAAACGAUGAAUACUCGCUGUUUGCGAUAUACUGCAAGCGGCCAAGCGAAAGCGUUAAGUAUUCCACCUGGGGAGUACGCCGGCAACGGUGAAACUCAAAGGAAUUGACGGGGGCCCGCACAAGCGGAGGAACAUGUGGUUUAAUUCGAUGAUACGCGAGGAACCUUACCCGGGCUUAAAUUGCAGAUGAAUUACGGUGAAAGCCGUAAGCCGCAAGGCAUCUGUGAAGGUGCUGCAUGGUUGUCGUCAGCUCGUGCCGUGAGGUGUCGGCUUAAGUGUCAUAACGAGCGCAACCCUUGUUGUCAGUUACUAACAGGUUCCGCUGAGGACUCUGACAAGACUGCCAUCGUAAGAUGUGAGGAAGGUGGGGAUGACGUCAAAUCAGCACGGCCCUUACGUCCGGGGCUACACACGUGUUACAAUGGGGGGUACAGAGGGCCGCUACCACGCGAGUGGAUGCCAAUCCCCAAAACCUCUCUCAGUUCGGACUGGAGUCUGCAACCCGACUCCACGAAGCUGGAUUCGCUAGUAAUCGCGCAUCAGCCACGGCGCGGUGAAUACGUUCCCGGGCCUUGUACACACCGCCCGUCAAGCCAUGGGAGCCGGGGGUACCUGAAGUGCGUAACCGCGAGGAGCGCCCUAGGGUAAAACUG